UCCCACCAACGCUGUGAGUAUAAUCUGUCUGUAGAGUCUAUCACUUGGGUGCAACUGCCCCUCUUAACGUGACCUGUGUGUGUGUGUGACACAUUUCUGCUUUGUUCCUCCUGCAGAACAGCUAAUGGUGCUUUCUGAUUAUUAGAGACCGAGUUUCACCUGGAAAGGAUGCCAAGUUAAUUGAUCUGUAAUUCCCCUUUUGGAAGAGAAGCGUGAUGUUUUCCCUCUGCCAGUCACCAGGGCUUCCUCAGUUCUCCAGGAGCACUUGAGUAUAAUGGAUAAUGGGCCUAAGAGUUUUUCAGCUAAUUCCUUUAAUACCCUUGGGUACAGACAACGAUGGGUCUACCCACAUGCUGAAAGAUGGAGUAAAAGGAGGUCAUGAAGAUUUCAGUGAUACCAUACUCCCCUGCAGGGGGAGGGAUUAAGAGGGUUACAGAACAGAUUUACAAGCCCUGGAGAGAGUGAGAGAACACAAGGUGAAUGCACCUUUGCAAUCAUUAAUCUAAACUGCCUUCACAUGUGCAGUCUCACUGAAACUUGGGCAAGGACAGUUUGAGCCACUGUGAUAUCAGUACCAGGUGGGAUUUUUUGGAAUAGAUCAGUG
Long non-coding RNA from Serinus canaria (Common canary), 604 nucleotides. RefSeq lists it as uncharacterized. NCBI's taxonomy places the organism in Eukaryota, Metazoa, Chordata, Aves, Passeriformes, Fringillidae. The transcript is spliced from 4 exons. The record is from RefSeq and is a predicted model, not a curated record.